This 126-nucleotide small nucleolar RNA is filed under the name Sorex araneus (European shrew). Its description in RNAcentral is "Small nucleolar RNA SNORA28 (ENSSARG00000018944.1)". It matches the Rfam family "Small nucleolar RNA SNORA28". Rfam says of the family: ACA28 is a member of the H/ACA class of snoRNA that guide the sites of modification of uridines to pseudouridines. Lineage: Eukaryota; Metazoa; Chordata; Mammalia; Eulipotyphla; Soricidae. The record is from RNAcentral.
AAGCAAUAUGUGGCUAAUGAUCAAGACUCUGUGACACAAUCUGCUCUUGCUAUAGUAAGAAAGUCUAACCUUUCCUGUUCUCAUGCUUGUCUCUAUGAGACAAACCAUUACACAGAUUUAAACAGC